GUCUAUCUUCGGGGCAGGGUGAAAUUCCCGAUCGGCGGUAAUGAGAUUUUUUCUCUAAGCCCGCGAGCCUGUAAGGGCAGGAUUUGGUGCGAUUCCAAAGCCGACAGUAUAGUCUGGAUGGGAGAAGAUGGAG
RNAcentral lists this non-coding RNA (133 nucleotides) under Mesobacillus selenatarsenatis. Its description in RNAcentral is "Bacillus selenatarsenatis FMN sequence". It matches the Rfam family "FMN riboswitch aptamer (RFN element)". Rfam says of the family: The RFN element is a highly conserved domain that is found frequently in the 5'-untranslated regions of prokaryotic mRNAs that encode for flavin mononucleotide (FMN) biosynthesis and transport proteins. This element is a metabolite-dependent riboswitch that directly binds FMN in the absence of proteins. The record is from RNAcentral. RNAcentral also lists the same sequence under 1 other name. Lineage: Bacteria; Bacillati; Bacillota; Bacilli; Caryophanales; Bacillaceae.